UCUGUGAUGUCCCCUGAGGUUUCUUAGAACUCACAAUGACUGUUUCAUAUUUGUACAACACCCUGGAGUCUCAGACAACACAUGAUCUCUACCUGCCACUUGCCUAAUUCUGUUGACAGAAACUGCUUUCAAUAUGACUGUUGAAAUUUAAAGUGUAAGCUGCUAUAUGAAGGGAUCCACAAGACGAAUAAUUAAGGGGGACCUCUGAUCAACAGCCAGCAAGGAACUGAAUCCCUCAGACCCACAACUCACAAGAAACUGAAGCUGAAGCAGAUUCUUCCUCAGUCAAGCUUCAGGUGCCCAGCUGUAUUGGUAGAGGAGACCAACCACACCCUCCACAGCACAGCACCUGGAGAGGAACUGCUGCCAUGACCAUAGAGGACACCCUCUGGAUACAAUGCCAGACUUGAUGUGGGACUGACCAACCUAUGGACCCCAGGCACCACCACCCAGACCUGCUCAGCACCUGAAACAUUCACAGCCGUGGAGAGAGAACUGUUCACUGCUACCAUCCACACUUCUGGGCCCCUUCAGCAGCAGGGUGACAAGGAAGAGGGAAAUCGACUUGGAAAAGAGGGGACCUCUGACCCAAGAGUUCGGUCAAUGCAUAUGUUGGCAGCCAGCUGCACAUCGCACCAAAUAUGAACUUCAAAUAGAAGAAAGCCUCAUUUGGAAGAAAGCUCAUGCACAGACUGUAAAUAUUUCAGAGCAGAUUGUGUCUCUGUAGAUUAACAAACAGUUUAUUUUUCCAGUAUGACAAUGUUGUGACAAGAUCAGAAGCCAGCUUUCUCACCAUUAAAUCAAAGUCUUAUCAAUAUAUGGAGACUUUUAUGGAAAGAAACCUGAAAUUACGCAGAAAUGCCUUCCGCAAGAAGUGGCUAGUAUGGUGGCUUCAAGAACAGUGACAUUUUUCAGUAUGUCCGUUGUUCUAAGACGUUAGUACAUCACAAUUACCUAGAAAACUUGUUAAAACACAGAAGUCUGGGCUCCCCCUCUUGGCCAACCCCCAUUCCCAGAGGGUUUCUGUUUCCAUGGGUCUGAAAUACCACCUAACGAUUGGCAUUUCUAACAAAUUUCUGCAUGAAGCUGCUGGUCUGAGGACCACACUUUGACAACCAGUGCACUACAUUAAGCUAUCUGGAGAAGCUGCAAAUGCAGAUGAAGAAGCUACAAAUUUUUCUAUGUCAACAAAAAUUGACUGAUGAGGGUGACCUUCGGAUCAUGUUUUUAAUGUUUAUGAAACUGGUCUCAUUAUCAGAAGUAAAUGGCUUCAAGAACUUCAGCCUGAGGAAGAAAACAUGAGUCCUAGGCAUAUCAGGCUACAACCAUGUUUGGAAUGAAUCUAGGUGCAAAUCUCAGUGGAGAAUUAACUGUACCAAUAUUUUAAUUAGGAUUACUAAUGUUUUGUUACUUCCUGAUUACAAGGUUCUAUAGGUUUUGAAUGAUCCACUGUAAUCCUGUUUCUUUUCCAUAAGUCGUGUAGUUUUUAGCAUGUAAUUAUGCAGACCAUAAGGUUUUUCAGGAAUACUAAUAUGGCAUUAGAUUAGAAAUGCUAUAUUAAAAAUUCUUAUUAAAUCUACUGAUAGUAACCAAAAAAUAGAAGAUUCAGAAGAACUAGCAAAUGUGGAGAGAACGGAUGAAAUGGAAGCAGUGUGAACCUAGUGAAUACUUGCCAAGCUGUAUCUCCCCUGAAUUUGUCAAAACAUCAUCUCCAGCAUCUGAGCUAGACCAACCCUCAGUGCUAACAUUGAUGUGAUUAAAGAGUCUGAACUGGGAGCAGAAUUCCUUCAGGUAUUUUGUUAAUAAAAUAAAGCUCUCCAUCUCUCCUUAAAUUAAACAA
Molecule: long non-coding RNA, 1840 nt
Filed under: Homo sapiens (human)
Lineage: Eukaryota; Metazoa; Chordata; Mammalia; Primates; Hominidae
Description: HSALNT0392755
Source: RNAcentral